GUUAAUCAGGCAUGGAUAAGAAUAGGACUUUCGGUCUAUUCUGUUGGGCUUGGUCGAAGUAAUGAUUAAUAGGGACCGACGGGGGCAUUAGUAUUUCUGCGCUAGAGUGAAAUUCUGGGCCGUGGUAGGACUAACAACAGCGAAAGCAUUUGCCAAGAAUGUUUUCAUUAAUCAAGAACGAAAGUUAGAGGUUCGAAGGCGAUCAGAUACCGCCCUAGUUCUAACCAUAAACGAUGCUGACCAGCGAUCAGUCUGAGUACUAUCAAGGACUCGACUGGAAGCUUCCUCGGGAAACCAAAGUUUUUGGGUUCCAGGGGAAGUAUGGUUGCAAAACUGAAACUUAAAGGAAUUGACGGAAGGGCACCACCAGGAGUGGAGCCUGCGGCUUAAUUUGACUCAACACGGGAAAACUCACCCGGUCCGGACACUUUAAGGAUUGACAGAUUGAUAGCUCUUUCUUGAUACAGUGGGUGGUGGUGCAUGGCCGUUCUUAGUUGGUGGAUCGAUUUGUCUGGUUAAUUCCGAUAACGAACGAGACUCCAACUUACUAACUAGUUAAACAUUUCCUUCGGGCGAUGUUAAACUUCUUAGAGGGACAGGAGGCGAUUCAGCCUCACGAGAAGGAGCAAUAACAGGUCUGUGAUGCCCUUAGAUGUCCGGGGCCGCACGCGCGCUACACUCCUGCCAGUAGUCAUAUGCAUGAGUCAAAGAUUAAGCCAUGCAGGCCUCAGUAGAAACCUCUUCGUAAUUGGGAUUGGUUAUUGUAACCAUGCCCGUAAUCAUAGAAUUGACUCAAAGUCAAAGUCAGUACCUAGCGUUGAUUAAGUCCCUGCCCUUUGUACACACCGCCCGUCGCUACUACCGAUUGAAUGAUUUAGUGAGGUCUUCAGAUUGGAUGGUGCAGUUCUCAUUCGAGAGCAGCAUUAUCUGAGAAGAUGACCCAAAACUGGAUCCAUAUGGGAAGGUUUUYSUGCCGGGAUAAUCAGGCAUGGAUAAGAAUAGGACUUUCGGUCUAUUCUGUUGGGCUUGGAUCGAAGUAAUGAUUAAUAGGGACCGACGGGGGCAUUAGUUUUCGGCGCUAGAGUGAAAUUCUGGACCGUGGUAUGACUAACAACAGCGAAAGCAUUUGCCAAGAAUGUUUUCAUUAAUCAAGAACGAAAGUUAGAGGUUCGAAGGCGAUCAGAUACCGCCCUAGUUCUAACCAUAAACGAUGCUGACCAGCGAUCAGUCUGAGUACUAUCAAGGACUCGACUGGAAGCUUCCUCGGGGAAACCAAAGUUUUUGGGUUCCAGGGGAAGUAUGGUUGCAAAACUGAAACUUAAAGGAAUUGACGGAAGGGCACCACCAGGAGUGGAGCCUGCGGCUUAAUUUGACUCAACACGGGAAAACUCACCCGGUCCGGACACUUUAAGGAUUGACAGAUUGAUAGCUCUUUCUUGAUACAGUGGGUGGUGGUGCAUGGCCGUUCUUAGUUGGUGGAUCGAUUUGUCUGGUUAAUUCCGAUAACGAACGAGACUCCAACUUACUAACUAGUUAAACAUUUCCUUCGGGCGAUGUUAAACUUCUUAGAGGGACAGGAGGCGAUUCAGCCUCACGAGAAGGAGCAAUAACAGGUCUGUGAUGCCCUUAGAUGUCCGGGGCCGCACGCGCGCUACACUCCUGCCAGUAGUCAUAUGCUUGAGUCAAAGAUUAAGCCAUGCAUGCCUCUGUAGAAACCUCUUCGUAAUUGGGAUUGGUUAUUGUAACCAUACCCGUAAUCAUAGAAUUGACUCAAAGUCAAAGUCAGUACCUAGCGUUGAUUAAGUCCCUGCCCUUUGUACACACCGCCCGUCGCUACUACCGAUUGAAUGAUUUAGUGAGGUCUUCAGAUUGGAUGGUGCAGUUCUCAUUCGAGAGCAGCAUUAUCUGAGAAGAUGACCCAAACCUGGAUCAAUAAGAUUUGU
Molecule: ribosomal RNA, 1943 nt
Filed under: Lamellidens corrianus
Lineage: Eukaryota; Metazoa; Mollusca; Bivalvia; Unionida; Unionidae
Description: bacterial SSU rRNA
Rfam family: Eukaryotic small subunit ribosomal RNA (bases 1-999)
Source: RNAcentral